Molecule: long non-coding RNA, 875 nt
Organism: Aedes albopictus (Asian tiger mosquito)
Lineage: Eukaryota; Metazoa; Arthropoda; Insecta; Diptera; Culicidae
Exons: 3
Source: RefSeq, a predicted model, not a curated record
UCUGUAACCGUUAGGUUCCAAUAUUUACUUGUUGGCUCCACCGCAAGUCCAUUUCUCCCCCUUUUCCCCUACAAUACUAAGAACGUACACACUCACUUGCUGCAAAACACGAGUGAGUGAGUGUUCUACCUUCACACUCUACCAAGUGACGGACAAGCCGAGCAGUUUGAGCUUGGGCAGAAAAAAAAACAAAACAGCCCUGUUGUCAUGCUCACUCACAGAGGGCACUACGGGACAACAGGGGUGAGCAAACAUGAAACUUAAACAUAAAUGUCAAAUAUUAACAUUAUGCGGAAUGGCAUUAUAUAAAGGAAUCCCGCAGGAGGGAUUUUCCUUCUUUUCUCGAUCGUGAUCCUCGAAAGUAGUAGAAGUGCGCGCGCGAAUAUCAGAUAACUAUUGAGAGGUUAGAAACCUAAAGUGCCUCAGUUUGGUGAAAUUCUUUUUAAUUUAUAUGUUAUUUCUUUUCUAAUACGCUAGGAUCCGUACAUAAGUCAAGUGUUAAAAUGUGUUAUUACAUCACUUUGUAAAAUUGCUAAAAUAUGUGUUAAAAAUAAGUGUUAGUACGUUAAAUUACGACAUUGAACAAACAGAAAAAAACAAACGAGAACAAACAGUUAGAACAAAAACACAAGAAAAAGGUCCAUUGUAAAGGGCCUUUUUCUUUAUGUGCUUGAGUUUCUUCGACAGUGUGGUGCUGGACCGAUGUUUCCUGGAAGAACGCUUGUGCCUUGCAGGCCGAAACCCGUUUUGCUCUGAUACCAGCAGAGAGGUCCCGCCAGAUCUGUGAACCGGCCAUGCAAGAUUUGGCCCGCCAUCGCCCCGUUACAUACCGACGCCAUCUUCCAAAUCUCUCGGAAGACACACCUACUGGUUUC